GCACAAUUUCCUGGAACCUGAGUCACAACUGUGAAUAAGUCCGAGGUCAAGAGAUCAAAUUCACAAGUACAAAAAGAACUGAAAGCUCUUUAUCAUUCCAAUUUUUGAACCUCUAAGUGCCUGUCUUCCAGCAAUAUGAAAAUAACGCUUGCAUAUGAGUAAGGCUCUCAGGGAAUUUCUUAGCAGGUAAAAAGACAAGCAAAG
RNAcentral lists this unclassified non-coding RNA (204 nucleotides) under Hevea brasiliensis (rubber tree). The record is from RNAcentral. Lineage: Eukaryota; Viridiplantae; Streptophyta; Magnoliopsida; Malpighiales; Euphorbiaceae.